UGAAACUGUAAGUGAAGAAAUUAAAGUUU
Molecule: non-coding RNA, 29 nt
Filed under: Rattus norvegicus (Norway rat)
Lineage: Eukaryota; Metazoa; Chordata; Mammalia; Rodentia; Muridae
Source: RNAcentral